RNAcentral lists this ribosomal RNA (617 nucleotides) under uncultured Pseudomonadaceae bacterium. Its description in RNAcentral is "bacterial SSU rRNA". It matches the Rfam family "Bacterial small subunit ribosomal RNA", at positions 9 to 619 of the family's 1533-position model. The record is from RNAcentral. Lineage: Bacteria; Pseudomonadati; Pseudomonadota; Gammaproteobacteria; Pseudomonadales; Pseudomonadaceae.
CGAGUUGAUCCAUGUCUCAUAUUGAACGCUGGCGGGAGGGCUAACACAUGCAAGUCGAGCGGAUGAUGGGAGCUUGCUCCCGGAUUCAGCGGCGGACGGGUGAGUAAUGCCUAGGAAUCUGCCUGGUAGUGGGGGACAACGUUUCGAAAGGAACGCUAAUACCGCAUACGUCCUACGGGAGAAAGCAGGGGACCUUCGGGCCUUGCGCUAUCAGAUGAGCCUAGGUCGGAUUAGCUAGUUGGUGGGGUAAAGGCCUACCAAGGCGACGAUCCGUAACUGGUCUGAGAGGAUGAUCAGUCACACUGGAACUGAGACACGGUCCAGACUCCUACGGGAGGCAGCAGUGGGGAAUAUUGGACAAUGGGCGCAAGCCUGAUCCAGCCAUACCGCGUGGGUGAAGAAGGCCUUCGGGUUGUAAAGCCCUUUUGUUGGGAAAGAAAAGCAGUCGGUUAAUACCCGAUUGUUCUGACGGUACCCAAAGAAUAAGCACCGGCUAACUUCGUGCCAGCAGCCGCGGUAAUACGAAGGGUGCAAGCGUCACUCGGGAAUUACUGGGCGUAAAGCGUGCGUAGGUGGUUGGUUUAGUCUGUCGUGAAAGCCCUGGGCUCAACCUGGGA